GACAAGGUGGCCAAGUGGUUAAGGUGAUGGACUGCUAAUCUAUUGUGUUCUGCACGUGUGGGUUCGAUUCCCUUCCUUGUCG
This is a non-coding RNA of Erpetoichthys calabaricus (reedfish), 82 nucleotides long. The record is from the annotation of a RefSeq genome assembly. NCBI's taxonomy places the organism in Eukaryota, Metazoa, Chordata, Cladistia, Polypteriformes, Polypteridae.